RNAcentral lists this ribosomal RNA (746 nucleotides) under uncultured bacterium. RNAcentral describes it as "bacterial SSU rRNA". It matches the Rfam family "Bacterial small subunit ribosomal RNA", at positions 8 to 751 of the family's 1533-position model. The record is from RNAcentral.
AGAGUUUGAUCCUGGCUCAGAUUGAACGCUGGCGGCAUGCCUUACACAUGCAAGUCGAACGGCAGCACGGAGCUUGCUCUGGUGGCGAGUGGCGAACGGGUGAGUAAUAUAUCGGAACGUACCCUAGAGUGGGGGAUAACGUAGCGAAAGUUACGCUAAUACCGCAUACGAUCUAAGGAUGAAAGUGGGGGAUCGCAAGACCUCAUGCUCGUGGAGCGGCCGAUAUCUGAUUAGCUAGUUGGUAGGGUAAAAGCCUACCAAGGCAUCGAUCAGUAGCUGGUCUGAGAGGACGACCAGCCACACUGGAACUGAGACACGGUCCAGACUCCUACGGGAGGCAGCAGUGGGGAAUUUUGGACAAUGGGCGAAAGCCUGAUCCAGCAAUGCCGCGUGAGUGAAGAAGGCCUUCGGGUUGUAAAGCUCUUUUGUCAGGGAAGAAACGGUGGGAGCUAAUAUCUCUUGCUAAUGACGGUACCUGAAGAAUAAGCACCGGCUAACUACGUGCCAGCAGCCGCGGUAAUACGUAGGGUGCAAGCGUUAAUCGGAAUUACUGGGCGUAAAGCGUGCGCAGGCGGUUUUGUAAGUCUGAUGUGAAAUCCCCGGGCUCAGCCUGGGAAUUGCAUUGGAGACUGCUAGGCUAGAAUCUGGCAGAGGGGGGUAGAAUUCCACGUGUAGCAGUGAAAUGCGUAGAUAUGUGGAGGACACCGAUGGCGAAGGCAGCCCCUGGGGUCAGAUUGACGCUCAUG